GUUCAUUAUCAUCACACAAACACAUCUCUUCGAUACGCUGCGAUUCAUUAAUUGAACUAUGAAUCGAAGGUUAUGGUGUGUGAUUACUGUACUUUCUGUCGUUGCUCUUGUAUUUGUAAUGUCAACGAAUUAUAAGGACUUACUUGUCAGAAAACUAGGGGGAAGGAAAGGCUUACGCCGAAUACGACAAUAUGGGAUCAGAAAUGAGGAUAAACUUAAUCGUGAACUGUAUGACGGUGUGGAAAGUUUUCUAAUGUUCAUCGGCUAUCCUCGCAGUGGCCACACCCUGGUCAGCUCCUUGUUAGACGCUCAUCCUAACGCCUUGGUUGCAAAUGAGUUUGAUGUAAUUGGUGAAUGGCAAAAGUGGACUAAAACCAACAGAAACAAGUAUUACCUAUUUGACCAGCUGUACCUGAACUCUAAAAUGGAAGCUGAUACCGGUUACCGAUCGGCCACGGUCCCACAUCGGUUCAAUUAUUCAGUGCCAGGCCAAUGGCAGGGAACAUUUAAUCAGAAGAUUUUGGUAAUGGGAGCUAAGAAGGGUGGUCAUACAACCAGACGACUUAUGAAACGAGAGAACCUGAAAGUACUAAAAGAAAUUCACCAAGUUCUCAAACUCCCGAUGAAGUUUCUUCAUGUCAUCCGAAAUCCUUACGACAACAUUGCAACCAUGAUGCUAAGAGAUCUGAAAAAGAGACCGGACGCCGGAGAGAAGAUCAAUGAUACCGAUAAUUUGGAUAAACAAAUAGCAAAAUACAUGGCUUUGGCGGCAAAAAACAAUCAACUAAAGAAAGUUCUCCCUGGGGAAGUUCAUGAGAUCCACAGUUCAGAGCUGAUCAAAGAACCAAAGAAAAUUCUGCUGGGAAUUUGUCACUUUUUACACCUCACUUGCUAUCAGAAAUAUAUCGAGGAUUGUUCUAAGAGAAUAUAUCCAGAGGCCAGUAAAACGCGUUACAAUGUGAUUUGGACAGAUCAGCAAAAGGAAACGGUUAGAAAAGAACUGCAAAGAUUUCAAUCCACAAGAGGCUAUGGUUUUGACGAUUGAAUUUUCUUCUAAGGCCUUUACUAGCAUCCACAGGAUUUGGUCGACCAUCCAACCAAAGAAAAUUGACCACAAUGGACAAAUUUUAAAAUAUUUGUUCCACAUGAGAACAACUCUCCGUGCCUCAAUGGUGCGUGACCUUCUUCCCCUAUCCCAGUCCACUGGGGAAUUUUCACUGCGGCUCGUAUGGGUCGGGGAUCUGUGCAUGAUAGCACGACACACUGUGCAAAGGUUGAUUCCCAGUCUGGCUUUCCAGAGAAAGCAAGAGGCGGCUCAGCUGUUAGCCCUUGUCGAUCUGCAAAAAGACAGGAAAUCCUGGUCGCAGGUCGAUUCGGAUGGAUACUACACUCUGCUGUACGAAUCUACAGUUAUGAAUGUAGUUUAUUAACAAAGCACUGUUAACACGACGCAGCAUGUAUCUUGUCUCCAGUUCAGUUUCUUUUUAUUUUCCUAGCACCGCCAAAACAACUGGCAAGUUGAUUUCGUAAAAGGACACAUUUAACACAAGCUGCGGUUGAAAAAAAUAUUAACACUUUUAAGAAAAAUUAUUCAAAAGAUGCGAUGAACUCUGUGACGACCUUCUUGAGCUUAGCAUCUGUGUCUUCUGAGAUGACACCCUCCUUCCUGAUGGUCUCGAUAAGAUCCUUCUGUGAUGUGCGGAUGUGUUUCAGGAAAGCUUCUUCAAACGCUGUGAUGCGGGAAGGGUCCACCUUAUCAAGAUGACCCCUAACGCCAGCAUAGAUCACGGCCACUUGCUCUGCGAUUUCCAUUGGCACUGCCAGAAAGAAAACGGCUAAUAAGUAACAGGAAAAUGAAUUUACAAAGACCCCCACGGCAAGGGCACUAAUGUCUUACACACUGAAUGUAGAAAAUAAAAUACUAUAAAAGGGUGCAUACAUCAGCUAGACCUUUCAGUCACUUACCGUACUGUCCUUGCUUAAGAAGUUCAGUGAGACGGACACCUCGGUUGAGGAGGGACUGAGUAGCAGCAUCCAGAUCAGAACCAAACUGAGCAAAAGCUGCCACUUCACGAUACUGUGCAAGCUCAAGUUUCAUGGAUCCAGCAACCUGAUGGACAGAAAAAUAACUUUAAAUUGUUGUGGACAACUCUAACAAAGGUCAAAGGUUUUAAGAUUGAAAUAAAAUCAGUGUUUCUUUAUAUUCAGCUUGGUGGUGAUGAUGAUGGGGUUGGCUGACACAAUUCCUUUGGUUUGCUCAGUUUUUCAACAGAGUAAAUAGUCUGCACUUUGUGAACCAAGCCAACUGAUAAAAGGCCGAGCCAUCCAGUGUAGGUUAUUACCCACUUGUAGCCUUUUAGUAAAAUACCAAAGAUCCUUAGUAAACUCAUGACCUCUAAAAAAUCCUUGAUGAUUGAAAUUAAAAUAAACAUAAUAACAGUGAUACAUAUAAUAAUAAACAAAAAUAAUAAUAAUAGUGAUGAUGA
Pocillopora verrucosa is the source of this 2486-nucleotide RNA transcript. RefSeq lists it as uncharacterized. NCBI's taxonomy places the organism in Eukaryota, Metazoa, Cnidaria, Anthozoa, Scleractinia, Pocilloporidae. The record is from RefSeq and is a predicted model, not a curated record.